Molecule: small RNA, 3603 nt
Filed under: Rattus norvegicus (Norway rat)
Lineage: Eukaryota; Metazoa; Chordata; Mammalia; Rodentia; Muridae
Description: uncharacterized LOC108351293
Source: RNAcentral
GCCCCAAGAUCUGGAUCAAAAGCUCAUGUCUACCAGCCUCGAGAUGUGGGUCACAGGUGUGCCCUCCAUUUCUGGAUUAUAGUUCAUUCCAGAUACAGUCAGGUUGACAACCAAGAAUAGCCAUCACAAUAGGUAUUUUACCCUCAUAUGUGUUUGUGCACCACUUGCAUGUCUAUGUCCUCAGAGGCCAGAAUUGGACAUCAGAUGUCCUGGAACUGGACAGUUACAGUGUAAGCCACCAUGUGGGUGAUGGGAACCAGACUCAGGAACAUUCAGGAAUCAAACACUGGCUGGAAGCACAGCCAGUGCUCCUAACUGCUGAAUCACCUCUCCUGCCCCGGAUUCACUUCUUUUAUUAUAUGUGUAUGUCUGUGUGUGGGUCCGUACAUAUGAGUACAAUGUCUGUGGCGUCCAUAGGAGGGAGUCCAUUCCCUGGAGUUGAAGGGACAGGCUACUGUGAGCUUCCUAAAAUGCAGACUGAGAACCAUGUAUUAAUUGCUGAUCCACCUAUCCAGACCAUAGUUUAGAUUUGUUUAGAUUAGGGCAAUUAUUUGAUUUCUAGUUACAAUUUAGCCAUUCUGUUCAAAAAUAUGUCUGGAAUUGUUCUAGGAGAAGGUGUCAUGGUUUGGACUAUGAAUUGUCUACCAAAACCCACGUGUUGAAGACUCGGUUCCCCAAACAGCUAGUGAUUCCCAUCACUAAAGGGUGGUCAGGAGGGUUCUGUGAUAAUCAGAUAGAUUCCUAACUCAUUGAUGAUUCAUAAUUUGGUGGGAGGACUUCAUUGGGGAUGUGUCUUUGGAAGGUAUAUCUUCUCUCUGACCCCUUCCAGUCUCCUUCUGCUCCCCAGCCUUCCCCAGAUCCAUACUGACUAGGCCAGUGGGCCACACACUGGGACCUCUGACACCAGGAGCCAAACAACACUCUUAAUCUUGUUUUUCUUUGAGAUGUUUUGUCAACAGUAGCAAAAAGUGACCGACAUACUAGGGAUGGCUAGCAACAAACAGCCGGAGUAUACCAUCAAGGGGCGCACAGACCAGCAAGCACACAGAAGACACAGUCAACAACCAUCCAAUGCUUAAUUACAUCCAGGCAUCUGUAAAGGGAAAGACGCAUAUGGUGGGGGUAUCCCACCUCCUGCUGCAUAAGUAAAAACUGAACCUUUGUUGUAUUGUAUCACUGAGAUGUCAUUGUUCCCUUGACACACAUGCCAAGACUGUGGGGCUGCAGUGUGACAGGAGGGACCAUGGAUUAGUUACUUUUCCAUCACCAUAAUCAGCAUUCCCCGAAGACACUGUUGGAGAGAGACAGCAUUUAUUUUGACUCAUGGUUUCAGAGGUUUUUCAGUCCAUCAUGGUGCUUCCUAUGAUGAUGUGACCAGUCCAUGACAACAGGAGCCUACAGGCAGAAGCUGUUGAUGAUGUAUCAGAAUGCAGAGAGCAAACCAGGAAGGAGGCAGAAAUCACAUGACCCACUCAAGGACCUGCUGCAAGUGAUCUACUUCCGGGUCAGCCUGGAAGGGAGCCAGACCCUUGGCCCUCUGGAGGAAGGCUUCGUCCCAGUCUGGAAGCAGUAGAGCCUGCAGAGGUUGGCCCUAGGCUGCCAUGAGCGAAGGAAGAAGGGUUGAAAAGAGCCAGUUCUUGUUGCCUGUGGACUGGAAAGACCCCAGCCAGGUUGCCACCUUGGACCAUGCUUCCCCUUCAGGGCAGACCUCUCCCUCCAGUCUCCGCCCAGUGUCUCCUGGGAAGCCGUACUAGCAGAUCGCACCACUUGAGCGUUGGGAAGGCUGUCUGCGGAACUGUGCCGGGGAGGUCAAAUGAAAAUGGAGUUUGAGUCAAGCAACAGAAAACACAGGGGAUGGAUGGACUUAGAAGCCAAGGCUGACUUUAAACUCUCCCAUGCUACUACAGGAGACUGGCUACGAACCCAGCACAAUAUCAAAAAGCAAGCAUGCACAGAUAAGACUCUCAUAAAAUGAGCUCAGGCCUAUGAAGCAGUUUCAGGAAUACAACAGCCUCUCCGACUUUGCCUUGCCACUUGACUACUGUGUGUUCUGUGGAGAAACCACUCCGUGCUGAACGGAGCAGCCUUCUACCUCCAGCAGUGACUCUUGUCCUUCUCACACACAGCCCGGAUGAAAACACAACCUGCUUCACACAGCUUGUUUGUUGCUAAGUAACCACUUCUUCCUGGUAUGAGUGUGUGACCACCCUUUCUUACUGCAACUUAAUUGCGUGACCUUAACACUGGAGAAUGGAAUUGGAAUGGGGCAGGCGUGGGGGUGGGGCUUCAUUUCUCAUCACCUACACUGUCUGUUAUUGUCCAUGACCCUGAAGAACAUUUCCUGGGAAAAGGUGAAAAAAGGGAGGGGCAGAGGAAGAACUGAGAACACGAGGGAGGUAGGAGGAAGUCUAAUCUCCACCCAGCCACCCCAGAGACCUCCUGGUGACUGCAUGAGCCAGAGAGCAGACAACAACCUUCUGUCCCCUUUCUCCUUCAAACACUGCUAACCCACGGGUCAAGCAUGAGCAUAGGCUUUGAAGCCAGGAAUAGUCACCUCAACCCUUGCCACAGUCCCAAGGGACACAGAGGCCACCAGCAAUACGGCAGCAAUCUCCUCUUUCAAGAGCAAGAGAGAGAUAAGUAAGAGUUUCCUCUUAGGAGCUCUGUCUCACAUUCACUAUGUCCCUGAAGCUGGGGUCUAUGAGGCUAUUGGUGACUGAUGUUUCCCAGAAUUCCAUAGUCAUGCAGGAACCUGUCACUUCUCUCAGGAAAUCGAAUGGUCUGCCCCUAGAUCACUAUAAGUUAUCCACUACCACCAGCUUUAUAGAGGCAUGAUCAAGAAAUAAAGGUGUGUGUGGGCUGGGGGCAUGGCUCAGCUCAGAGAGAGCUCUUGCAUCUCGUGUGUGAGGAUCUACAUGCUUGUAAUCGCAGCACCAGCAAGAUGGGAGACAGCGACAAGGAAGAUCCUGGAAGUUCCCUACUCGGUGACGUUCCAGACCAAUGAAAGACUGUGUCUCAAACAAAAGAGCUAACACCUAAGGUCAUGCCCCUGACCUCCACGCAUGUGUCAUGCAUGUGCACACUGAACGCACAUUUACCCCUCCCACACCCACACAUGCACCCUCAUCUGCAUAUUCCCACAAGACCGCAUGCAGUUAAGGUGUACAUGUUUUGCUCAGCAUUCUCUACACUCAGUCUGUUUAACACAUCUGUGACCUAGCUAUGUGUGUGUGUGAGAUAAUACCUCACACCUACUCCCUUAACACAUAACAAUGAUGUAACCCUGCAUUAGUAAUAAGUGUGGUCACUUUGCUGUACACUGGUUCUCCAGAAGCCAGUCAUCUCAGAACUGCAAGUCCUCCUGUGUUACCCUUGGAUGAACGUCUCCCCCACUUACCUUACCUCUGAUCCUUAAUAAUUAUCCUUCUGCUCUAUCCUGAGGCUCUGACGUUUUCAGAUUCCACUUCUACAAGGAGAUCGUAUGCCCCGUGCAUUACUCAGUCUUCCCAUUGCUGUGACAGAGGUAAUUUAAGGAGGGGGAGGGGCAUUCUGCUUUAAGAAGAUGUGUAGGGAGGGCUGGAGAGAUGGCUCAGUGGUUAAGAG